GCUUGUCUCAAAGAUUAAGCCAUGCAUGUCUAAGUAUAAACAACUUUAUACUGUAAAACUGCGAACGGCUCAUUAUAUCAGCAAUAAUUUAUUUGAUGGUUUCUUACCCCAUGGAUAACUGUGGUAAUUCUAGAGCUAAUACAUGCGUAAAGUCCCGACUCUUUCUGGGGAGGGAUGUAUUUAUUAGAUAAAAAACCAAUGCGGGUUCUGCCCGGUUUUGUGUUGAAUCAUAGUAACUUUUCGAAUCGCAUGGCUUCACGCCGGCGAUAGUUCAUUCAAAUUUCUGCCCUAUCAACUUUCGAUGGUAAGGUAUUGGCCUACCAUGGUUACCACGGGUAACGGGGAAUUAGGGUUCGGUUCCGGAGAGGGAGCCUGAGAAAUGGCUACCACAUCCAAGGAAGGCAGCAGG
This 409-nucleotide ribosomal RNA is filed under the name uncultured Cryomonadida. Its description in RNAcentral is "partial small subunit ribosomal RNA". It matches the Rfam family "Eukaryotic small subunit ribosomal RNA", at positions 30 to 432 of the family's 1831-position model. The record is from RNAcentral. Lineage: Eukaryota; Cercozoa; Thecofilosea.